UACGUAGGGUGCGAGCGUUAAUCGGAAUUACUGGGCGUAAAGCGUGCGCAGGCGGUUGUGUAAGUCUGACGUGAAAUCCCCGGGCUUAACCUGGGAAUGGCGUUGGAGACUGCACGGCUAGAGUGUGUCAGAGGGGGGUGGAAUUCCACGUGUAGCAGUGAAAUGCGUAGAUAUGUGGAGGAAUACCGAUGGCGAAGGCAGCCCCCUGGGAUAACACUGACGCUCAUGCACGAAAGCGUGGGGAGCAAACAGG
RNAcentral lists this ribosomal RNA (253 nucleotides) under uncultured bacterium. RNAcentral describes it as "partial 16S ribosomal RNA". It matches the Rfam family "Bacterial small subunit ribosomal RNA", at positions 524 to 776 of the family's 1533-position model. The record is from RNAcentral.